CCUACGGGCGGCUGCAGUGGGGAAUUUUGGACAAUGGGGGCAACCCUGAUCCAGCCAUUCCGCGUGAGUGAAGAAGGCCUUCGGGUUGUAAAGCUCUUUCGGCCGGGAAGAAAUCGCAUCUCCUAAUACGGGGUGUGGAUGACGGUACCGGAAGAAGAAGCACCGGCUAACUACGUGCCAGCAGCCGCGGUAAUACGUAGGGUGCGAGCGUUAAUCGGAAUGACUGGGCGUAACGCGUGAGCAGGCGGGUGGACUCCCCGGGCUUAACCUGGGAACUGCGUUUGUGACUGGUGGGCUUGAGUGCGGAAGAGGGGGGUGGAAUUCCACGUGUAGCAGUGAAAUGCGUAGAGAUGUGGAGGAACACCGAUGGCGAAGGCAGCCCCCUGGUUCGACACUGACGCUCAUGCACGAAAGCGUGGGGAGCAAACAGGAUUAGAUACCCUUGUAGUC
Molecule: ribosomal RNA, 450 nt
Filed under: uncultured bacterium
Lineage: Bacteria
Description: partial 16S ribosomal RNA
Rfam family: Bacterial small subunit ribosomal RNA
Source: RNAcentral